Molecule: ribosomal RNA, 400 nt
Filed under: uncultured bacterium
Lineage: Bacteria
Description: bacterial SSU rRNA
Rfam family: Bacterial small subunit ribosomal RNA
Source: RNAcentral
GGGGAAUAUUGGACAAUAGGCGCAAGCCUGAUCCAGCCAUGCCGCGUGAGUGAUGAAGGCCUUAGGGUUGUAAAGCUCUUUCAGUAGGGAAGAUAAUGACGGUACCUAUAGAAGAAGCCCCGGCUAACUUCGUGCCAGCAGCCGCGGUAAUACGAAGGGGGCUAGCGUUGUUCGGAUUUACUGGGCGUAAAGCGCACGUAGGCGGAUUGGUCAGUUAGAGGUGAAAUCCUGGAGCUCAACUCCAGAACUGCCUUUAAUACUGCCAGUCUCGAGUCCGGAAGAGGUGAGUGGAACUCCUAGUGUAGAGGUGGAAUUCGUAGAUAUUAGGAAGAACACCAGUGGCGAAGGCGGCUCACUGGUCCGGUACUGACGCUGAGGUGCGAAAGCGUGGGGAGCAAAC